RNAcentral lists this ribosomal RNA (124 nucleotides) under Jaculus jaculus (lesser Egyptian jerboa). Lineage: Eukaryota; Metazoa; Chordata; Mammalia; Rodentia; Dipodidae. The record is from RNAcentral.
GACUAUGACCAUACCACCCUGAGCAUGCCCGAUCUCAUCUCAUCUCAUCUCGAAAGCUAAGUAGAGUCAGGCCUACUUAGCACUUGGAUGGGAGACUGCCUGGGAAGAUACGGUUCUGUAGAGC